Molecule: long non-coding RNA, 317 nt
Filed under: Brassica rapa (field mustard)
Lineage: Eukaryota; Viridiplantae; Streptophyta; Magnoliopsida; Brassicales; Brassicaceae
Description: long non-coding RNA (BRAP_LNC006782)
Source: RNAcentral
GUGCUGGUGUCUUCUUCUGAGAGGAGUUUUGGUUUUGAGAGAAUUGGAACUGCCCUUGAGCGCUAAAGCAAAUCCCCAUGAAACUCCUAGAGAUUAAAAAAGGCUAUUUAUUUUAUUCGAUUACAUUCUCCAUAUUAAGCAAGAAAUCUGAGACGGAUCAAGGAGAAGAAAGGCUAUUUAUUUUAUUCGAUUACAUUCUCCAUAUUAAGCAAGAAAUCUGAGACGGAUCAAGGAGAAGAAAAGCCCCGAGAUGGUUUCUCGGAGUCAGGCAGAGAGAGAGAGAGAGAGAUAUGAAAAACAAAAAAAAAAGAUAAAAG